This 324-nucleotide ribosomal RNA is filed under the name uncultured soil bacterium. Its description in RNAcentral is "bacterial SSU rRNA". It matches the Rfam family "Bacterial small subunit ribosomal RNA", at positions 26 to 377 of the family's 1533-position model. The record is from RNAcentral.
AGAACGAACGCUGGCGGCAUGCCUAACACAUGCAAGUCGAACGAGACCUUCGGGUCUAGUGGCGCACGGGUGCGUAACGCGUGGGAAUCUGCCCUUGGGUUCGGGAUAACAGUUGGAAACGACUGCUAAUACCGGAUAAUGACUUCGGUCCAAAGAUUUAUUGCCCAGGGAUGAGCCCGCGUAGGAUUAGCUAGUUGGUGAGGUAAAGGCUCACCAAGGCGACGAUCCUUAGCUGGUCUGAGAGGAUGAUCAGCCACACUGGGACUGAGACACGGCCCAGACUCCUACGGGAGGCAGCAGUAGGGGAAUAUUGGACAAAUGGGA